GUAGGUGAACCUGCGGAAGGAUCAUUAACAAUUCAACUUAUAAAUUUACCUUUGUGAACUGAUCUCUGGCUGGGUUGAAGCUCGCGCUUCCUAAAUGUCCCGCGGAGAUUUCAAGUGGAAGUAGUGGCUCACUCGCUCGCUCAUCUUUGGGUGAGAGAAAUUGUUGUUACUACCUACACUUACAUAGACUAUUAUGUAUGACUAAAUAGUAUUUAUUUAAACAAAUACAACUUUUAACAGUGGAUCUCUU
RNAcentral lists this unclassified non-coding RNA (250 nucleotides) under plant metagenome. RNAcentral describes it as "partial contains small subunit ribosomal RNA, internal transcribed spacer 1, and 5.8S ribosomal RNA". The record is from RNAcentral.